GCGCCUAUAGCUCAAUGGCAGAGCGCCUGAUUGUGGAUCAGGAGGUUACGGGUUCGAAACCCGUUAGGCGCCCCA
RNAcentral lists this transfer RNA (75 nucleotides) under Chloroflexota bacterium. RNAcentral's name for it is "Chloroflexi bacterium tRNA-His". It matches the Rfam family "tRNA". From Rfam's summary of the family: Transfer RNA (tRNA) molecules are approximately 80 nucleotides in length. Their secondary structure includes four short double-helical elements and three loops (D, anti-codon, and T loops). Lineage: Bacteria; Bacillati; Chloroflexota. The record is from RNAcentral.